UACGCGGAUGCCUACGGGUGGCUGCAGUGGGGAAUUUUGGACAAUGGGCGCAAGCCUGAUCCAGCCAUGCCGCGUGAGUGAAGAAGGCCUUCGGGUUGUAAAGCUCUUUUGUCCGGAAAGAAAUCCGCCUGGCUAAUACCCGGGGGGGAUGACGGUACCGGAAGAAUAAGCACCGGCUAACUACGUGCCAGCAGCCGCGGUAAUACGUAGGGUGCGAGCGUUAAUCGGAAUUACUGGGCGUAAAGCGUGCGCAGGCGGUUUCGUAAGACAGAUGUGAAAUCCCCGGGCUUAACCUGGGAACUGCGUUUGUGACUGCGAGACUUGAGUGCGGCAGAGGGGGGUGGAAUUCCACGUGUAGCAGUGAAAUGCGUAGAGAUGUGGAGGAACACCGAUGGCGAAGGCAGCCCCCUGGGUCGACACUGACGCUCAUGCACGAAAGCGUGGGGAGCAAACAGGAUUAGAUACCCUGGUAGUCCACGCCCUAAACGAUGCGAACUAGGUGUUGGGGAAGGAGACUUCUUUAGUACCGUAGCUAACGCGUGAAGUUCGCCGCCUGGGGAGUACGGUCGCAAGAUUAAAACUCAAAGGAAUUGGCGGGG
This 599-nucleotide ribosomal RNA is filed under the name Escherichia coli. RNAcentral describes it as "bacterial SSU rRNA". It matches the Rfam family "Bacterial small subunit ribosomal RNA", at positions 328 to 918 of the family's 1533-position model. Lineage: Bacteria; Pseudomonadati; Pseudomonadota; Gammaproteobacteria; Enterobacterales; Enterobacteriaceae. The record is from RNAcentral.